Molecule: long non-coding RNA, 1463 nt
Organism: Cyprinus carpio carpio
Lineage: Eukaryota; Metazoa; Chordata; Actinopteri; Cypriniformes; Cyprinidae
Source: Ensembl
UGAACAGAAUAAAAAUAUAAAUAAAAUAGACUCAUUAAAAUACACAAAUAAGAAUAAAGUUUAUAAAGAUUAAAAUAUUAAAUAUAAAAUAAAACAUGAAAAAUGAGGCAAAACAUAACACAUGAAAUAUACAGAGGUUUUAUAAGUCUUUACAUAAAGGCCAGACUAAAAAAUAUAUGUUUUUAAUUUAGAUAUAAAACUAUUAAUGUUUUCAGCACAUCUUAUGUUCUCUGGAAGAUUGUUCCAGAGACAAGGAGCAUAAUGGCUAAAACCAGACUGAAACAUCUCUAGUUUCAAAUUUGCAUUUAAGAACGUACUCAACUGAUUAAAAACUAUUUUCUCUAAUAUUUUACUUUAAAUUGUAAGAUUUGAGAUGGGUCUAUAAUUAGUAGGAGUUAAAAUAUCUGAGCUCCCUUUUUUAUACACAGGUUUGACUAGGGCAGAUUUAAGAUCAGAAGGGAAAAUGCCAAGCUGCAGGAAGUGAUUUACUUUCUCAAGGUUAUCAAUAGAUAUGGAGUCAAACAUCCUUUUAAAAAGAGAGAAUUACGACAAUUCACAAGUUCGCCCUGCAGAUAACAAGUAUUUGACGUGCUGUCCGGGGAGAGGGCUCCGAGCUCUGCACUGUAGGAAUGGGUCGACGGUGAGGAGUCGAGGUGGUGGAGGGAUGCUGAAAGACUAGAGGGAAUGAAGGUACGGCUGCUAUGAUUAUUUAUAGUGGUUCUCUCUCGUGGUGGUUGGAUAGAUGAUGUGAUUACUGCUCCUCCCAAAAUUUGUUGAUAAAACAUCACUUAGUGGGUCCUGACACAUGUUGUCACAACUCGGUUAAGAUUAGAAUGUAUCUAAAUGUAAAUCCCAGUGCAUAUAAACUUUGUGGAUGUUUGCAGACUUCAUCUGCAAUCAGUGCCAAUUCAGACAGAUAAUUCUGUAGUGACCUAUGAAUAGUAACUAGUAAAAAUCUCAAAGGGAUUUAUUGUUUAUAUUAUUUUUCCAGAGGAUUAUACUAAAACCAAACCUCUGAAAAAUACUAAAAAAUGUUACAGCUGUUACAGCAUGUUUAAAUCCGUAAGGUUGGUGGGAAACUCCUUUAAAGUUAUCUAAUUAUCUGGCACAUAUGUCACUUUACCAUUUAAUUUAUCUUGUAAUAACUUAGCAUUCUGUUAUGUUUUCCUAAACCAAAGUAAACAAACACACAGAGCAGCCUUGAAAAACAAUGACAAUAUCCAAAAUGAAACUGAAGAAACUCCGGAGUGUAAAUGCACAGGAAGAUAACUAACUAAACAGAAACAAGUGUGUUGGAUGUCAUAGAAUGUAUUCAUGGCAGGACAAGGAGUUGUGCUGAAUUUUUUUCAGUGUUUACUCCAACAUGGCUAAAAAGGGACAACCACUUUUCUUUUCCUUGCAGCUUAUGGCAUCUAAACUUGAAGCUUGUUGGCAGAAUAAAUAACCCUAGGGUGGAUUAGGUG